AUGCGCUCUGCGGCCGCUGGCCUGUGCUCGCCGCUCACACGCCCCCUGCGCGCCGGGCCCGUACACCGCCACCGGCCCUCACAGAGCCGUCCGGCCUUCGCCCGGACGCUGGGCCGCCGCCCGGGCACCGCGCCGCGCCCGCCCUCCACCCGGCCACCUCCUGUCCUCCCCGCCGCCCCCUUUCUUACCGGCAGGCUUGGCUGGGCGGAGGAAGCCGACUCGGGUCGACGGCCUCCCCCGCGCCCAGGAUCUCCGCCGCCGAGUCCUAGGGCUCCGGGCGUCUUGGGAGAGAUACCUGCAGACCCAGCUCUUCAAGCAGAGAUUGGCCAAGUCCAGCCAUUAUGCCCCUGUGCUGACCCACUAGCACCAUAUCCGGAUCUGCAGGUGAAAAGGCACGGCUGCUGGCAUGAUAGGGGUUUCCUAGAAAGCAGUGAAGAGACCAUAGCCUAA
This 450-nucleotide long non-coding RNA is filed under the name Callithrix jacchus (white-tufted-ear marmoset). Its description in RNAcentral is "lncRNA (ENSCJAG00000076968.1)". The record is from RNAcentral. Lineage: Eukaryota; Metazoa; Chordata; Mammalia; Primates; Cebidae.